GGAUAAUGCAAGUGUUUAACAGAUGCUUCACUAUUAAAAUAUUUCCCCCCCAAGUCUCAAAUAUUGAAGAAUCUCUAACCAGAAGGCACAGAUCAUUCAUGGGGAAGUAUAACCGAAACCAGUCCUCUCCACCCCCUGGGGAUCUUCACUUUCCCAGUCUACAACUGCCUGUGACUCCAGAAAGACAAACUGCAGAUUGGCCAAGUGCCUUUCAAACUGCUUUUUACUGGAUGAAGAAACUCAACCAAGAAAAUAUAUGUCAAUUCUUGUAUAUGGGACAAUAUUAGCUGCUGUGAUUUUUAAUACUAGCAUAAAAUAUAAGAAUCUUUUUAUUACUGUGAUAUUGUUUUUUCCUAAAUGAAUGCAUAGUGUAACAAUUGGUGUCAAAAAGCACUGAAUUUUUUUCAGAUGGAUUAAGCUGGAAUAAUAAAGUAUAUCUAUGAGAUGAUUUCUGUAAACUCUGACUUGCUGAGAAAAAAGUGAAAAAGCUUUUUCUGGAAGAAACAUGGCAACUUAACCAUUAUUAAUCUGGACUAAACAAAACAGGAAACUGCUUCUUUA
RNAcentral lists this non-coding RNA (561 nucleotides) under Pan troglodytes (chimpanzee). Lineage: Eukaryota; Metazoa; Chordata; Mammalia; Primates; Hominidae. The record is from RNAcentral.